Molecule: ribosomal RNA, 446 nt
Filed under: uncultured bacterium
Lineage: Bacteria
Description: partial 16S ribosomal RNA
Rfam family: Bacterial small subunit ribosomal RNA
Source: RNAcentral
CCUACGGGUGGCAGCAGUCGAGAAUCAUUCACAAUGGGGGAAACCCUGAUGGUGCGACGCCGCGUGGGGGAAUGAAGGUCUUCGGUUUGUAAACCCCUGUCAUGUGGGAGCAAAUUAAAAAGAUAGUACCACAAGAGGAAGAGACGGCUAACUCUGUGCCAGCAGCCGCGGUAAUACAGAGGUCUCAAGCGUUGUUCGGAGUCACUGGGCGUAACGCGUGCGGAGGCUGUUUCGUAAGUCGUGUGUGAAAGGCGCGGGCUCAACCCGCGGACGGCGCAUGAUACUGCGAGACUAGAGUAAUGGAGGGGGAACCGGAAUUCUCGGUGUAGCAGUGAAAUGCGUAGAGAUCGGGAGGAACACUAGUGGCGAAGGCGGGUUCCUGGACAUUAACUGACGCUGAGGCACGAAGGCCAGGGGAGCGAAAGGGAUUAGAUACCCCAGUAGUC